Molecule: long non-coding RNA, 452 nt
Filed under: Mytilus galloprovincialis (Mediterranean mussel)
Lineage: Eukaryota; Metazoa; Mollusca; Bivalvia; Mytilida; Mytilidae
Source: RNAcentral
CUCAUCAUCACUCAUAAUUCAUAAAUAUACCAGCUACCCAUUAAUUUUUAUAUAUGAAUUGACAUCGUUUGGUGCACAUAUAUUUUAUCGUUAUAUAUACGCAUGGAUUGUUGGAUUAACUGCAUGUUUAAGUGGGUGUGAGAUUUUAGUGGGUGUGGGUGUAUUUAGCGCAUUGGCCAUCCUACUAUGUAGAAGUGCGCCGGAAUAGAACGGUGUUACUUAUUUAUAGUGCCGUCGGCGCUUGCUUCAUGAUGUGGGUUUCCACUGUGUUAAAGACCUUGAGGUGACACCUGGACACUUACCUGGAUAACAUUUUUUAAUGUAGAGUUUGGGGAAGAUUUUGUAUAAAUUUUCUACAUUAACACUGGGACUAUUAACUAGUUAAUAGUUCAAGAUUAACCUGAUCUUUUUUUAAUGUUAUGUUUUUGAAGAAAUUUUAUCAAUUUACUCAG